GUUCUGCUGGUGAAACAAUGUGUUCACAGAAAACCUGAAGAUCAAGAAGAAACCGAAGAUGACAUCAUCACUCAUGUCAAGUACAACAUCAAAACAUCCAGUCAUCAACAACAACCAAUCAGACGAAGCAGAGCAGAUCAAGAGGAAACUGGAGAAGAUGACAUCCUGACUCAUGUCAAGUACAACAUCAAAGCAUCCAGUCAUCAAAAACAACCAGACAGACGAAGCACAGAUGGGCGGAGGUGUGAGACGUAAAAACAGGAACCACCUCUAAAGUCUGCUGCCUGUCUGCAUCGCAAGAGUCAGCAAGAUUUUCUAAAGACACUACGUCCUUCCUCACAAGAAACCAUCCCGAGACCAUUUUUUUGUUUCUUUUUUUUAACUUCAUCUGUCUUCUGUUUUUAUGAUGGGAAUAACUCGUGUCUCAGACAGAAAACGACCCGGCUUACAUAUUUGUUUUACAUAUUUAACUACUUCAUACAAGGCAUCUUGUAGGAGGUAAUUUUUGUUCCUACCUAGUGGUUACAAAGGGACUGUUUUAUGGAGAGUAACGUAUCCUGUGUGCCAUGUGUGUCGAGGAGACGAUAGAGUAAAAGGUUGAGUGCACACCGUCCUGCCCUGUUGGUGAUUUUGUUUGUUUGUUUGUUUUAAAU
Astatotilapia calliptera (eastern happy) is the source of this 653-nucleotide long non-coding RNA. The record is from Ensembl. Lineage: Eukaryota; Metazoa; Chordata; Actinopteri; Cichliformes; Cichlidae.